UCCUCGCGCACGCCAAGGCAUGCAGGUUGUCACCUCGUGGACUUCUGUCCACAGUGAUUAUAAAUUAAGCAUCUUUAUAGUUUAAUAGAUAUUUAGAAUUAUAAUGUUAUCGAAGGAUGGUCACACUAGUAAGCGUGGUGGAAGUUGGAAAAAAAUAUAAAAAGCACAUGUCUUUAAGUUUUAGUUAUAUAUUGUUUUAAAAGCUUAUUACAUGGUGUCGAGCACUAUCAGAGUUGGAUUGCUCAAUAUUGGCACAAGAAUGGCCAAAGUGGAAACAAAGCUUAUGUACAUGCACAUGUUGACUGGUCUGGAAAAGAUGCGGAUCCAGAGCCUAUGAAGAUAGCCACUUUCUUGUGGUUGGCGGGUUCUAAAGCAACGGGAAUCUACAAAGCAAAGUUUCCCAACGAUGGACAACAAACAGUAUGUUAGGAACUGCAGCAACGUCAGCAGACCCUUCAUCAUCAACUGUGCAAGCUGUUGGUCGCCCACUGGACGAUGUACUGACAGCAUUCGACAAACGUAGUAUUCCAUUUCGAAAUACUACAAUGGAAACCUAUAAAUUCAAUAAUAUUAAACAGGCAGAUGGACAGCCUUGUAUUGAAUUCGAAAUGCAACUAUGCAAGCAAAUACAGUCAUGCGAUUUUGAGGGUACCUGUGGCCAAAAGUACGAAGAAAGAAUGCUAAUGGAUCGUACCAUUAUUGGCAUAAACGAUAAAAGGCUACAACUAAAGGUUCAAGAGUCAAAAAAUAAGAAGCUAGAGGAUGUACUAAACGAGUGCAAAGCCUAUGAAGCUGCUACGGAAAAGAACGCGAUUAUACAAAAUCGGCUACGUGUUUUGUUGGAGAGCAGUACCAUCAAUGCUGUUGCUCGAAAAUGCUUUAAUUGUGGAGCUAUAUUUAACCCAAAUCAUCUGGUCGAGUGCCGCGGCAAGGAGGCGACAUGUUGUCAAAAACUGGGACAAUUUGCGAGAUACUGUAAGCAGCAGAAAAAAACGGGGUAAAAAACAAUCCUCAAUUCCUUCAAUUAAUUGGCUAGAGUCAGAUCUUUUGCCAAUGAGUUUAAUGCAGCGCUCCAGUUUUCAAGCCCUAAUUAUCCUCAGAGCAAUGGAUUGGCAGAAAAAGAAGUGACAAUAGCAAAAAAUAUCCUAAAACGUUGCUCACAAGUAAAUGAUUAUAUAUAUAGGAUCCUUGAAUACAACGCUACCCCAGUAGCAAAUUUAGAUCCAGCACCAUGCGAAUUAUUCUUUGGAAGAAUGUGCAAGACCAUAUUACCAAUAAAGACUGCAUUAUAUGGAAAUAAAAUUAAUGAAGAAAUAAUCUCACGGAAGUUUAUCGAAAAAAAAAGGAAACAAAAAAAUAUUACGACAUGCACUUAAGAAGCCUGCACUCAAGUCCAUUUAUUAAAGGUGAUAGGGUUCAAUUUAGAAAAAAAAAAUGAA
Molecule: RNA transcript, 1439 nt
Organism: Drosophila ananassae
Lineage: Eukaryota; Metazoa; Arthropoda; Insecta; Diptera; Drosophilidae
Exons: 2
Source: RefSeq, a predicted model, not a curated record